RNAcentral lists this small RNA (76 nucleotides) under Flavobacterium caeni. RNAcentral describes it as "Flavo-1 RNA". It matches the Rfam family "Flavo-1 RNA". The record is from Rfam by way of RNAcentral. Lineage: Bacteria; Pseudomonadati; Bacteroidota; Flavobacteriia; Flavobacteriales; Flavobacteriaceae.
CUGCAGCCGUGAUGGUAGCGGCAUCCUUUUAUGGAAUGCAAUGGAAUAAAAGAUAAAGCGGACAGCACGAAUUGUC